RNAcentral lists this transfer RNA (86 nucleotides) under Chloroflexota bacterium. Its description in RNAcentral is "Chloroflexi bacterium (sediment metagenome) tRNA-Leu". It matches the Rfam family "tRNA". Rfam says of the family: Transfer RNA (tRNA) molecules are approximately 80 nucleotides in length. Lineage: Bacteria; Bacillati; Chloroflexota. The record is from RNAcentral.
GGGGUUGUGGCGAAAUCGGCAUACGCACGAUACUUAAAAUAUCGCGCCCAAAAGGCAUGUGGGUUCGAGUCCCACCAGCCCCACAA